RNAcentral lists this ribosomal RNA (393 nucleotides) under uncultured bacterium. Its description in RNAcentral is "partial 16S ribosomal RNA". It matches the Rfam family "Bacterial small subunit ribosomal RNA", at positions 523 to 918 of the family's 1533-position model. The record is from RNAcentral.
AUACGGAGGAUCCGAGCGUUAUCCGGAUUUAUUGGGUUUAAAGGGUGCGCAGGCGGGAGAUUAAGUCGGCGGUGAAAUUUUGCAGCUCAACUGUAAAAGUGCCUUCGAAACUGGUUUCCUUGAGUGUAGAUGAAGUAGGCGGAAUUUGUGGUGUAGCGGUGAAAUGCAUAGAUAUCACGAGGAACUCCGAUUGCGCAGGCAGCUUACUAAACUACUACUGACGCUCAGGCACGAAGGCGUGGGGAUCAAACAGGAUUAGAUACCCUGGUAGUCCACGCAGUAAACGAUGAUUACUAGCUGUUUGCGAUACAAUGUAAGCGGCUGAGCGAAAGCGUUAAGUAAUCCACCUGGGGAGUACGUUCGCAAGAAUGAAACUCAAAGGAAUUGACUGGG